AGUGAACGCUGGCGGUAGGCCUAACACAUGCAAGUCGAACGGCAGCACAGUAAGAGCUUGCUCUUACGGGUGGCGAGUGGCGGGCGGGUGAGGAAUACAUCGGAAUCUACUUUUUCGUGGGGGAUAACGUAGGGAAACUUACGCUAAUACCGCAUACGACCUACGGGUGAAAGCAGGGGAUCUUCGGACCUUGCGCGAUUGAAUGAGCCGAUGUCGGAUUAGCUAGUUGGCGGGGUAAAGGCCCACCAAGGCGACGAUCCGUAGCUGGUCUGAGAGGAUGAUCAGCCACACUGGAACUGAGACACGGUCCAGACGCCUACGGGAGGCAGCAGUGGGGAAUAUUGGACAAUGGGCGCAAGCCUGAUCCAGCCAUACCGCGUGGGUGAAGAAGGCCUUCGGGUUGUAAAGCCCUUUUGUUGGGAAAGAAAAGCAGCAGGUUAAUACCCCGCUGUUCUGACGGUACCCAAAGAAUAAGCACCGGCUAACUUCGUG
Molecule: ribosomal RNA, 492 nt
Filed under: uncultured bacterium
Lineage: Bacteria
Description: partial 16S ribosomal RNA
Rfam family: Bacterial small subunit ribosomal RNA
Source: RNAcentral